CUGUGAAGUUUUUAAGUUGAAUUUUACAAGUUUUCUCAGUUGGUUGUACAUUUUUGCCACUCAUAUCAAGGCAACAUUUCAAGAGUCUAAAUAUUCUUCUUGCAAAACAAUAUAAGCCAUUCGUUAGUUCACCUGUUGUUUACCUAAGAUUUAUGAUUUGUGGAGAAGCUGCAGCUUUAUCCUGAAAAAAGGUUAAGUUCUACUUCUGAAUGUUAACCUUCAUGAUAAACAACCCUCCUCCCUCCUCCCUAGGCAGCCUUGGUGUCUCCUGUUGAUGUGCUUCUCGUAGAGCAGAUGGCUUUACACAUAAAUCCUAUUAGCAACUUUCUGCUGAUGGAGACACCAGACUGAGUUCAGGGUUUUUCAUUCUUUCGUUUUCUAUGUAAGACGCCUGCUUUCAUACUACUUCUUAUCUUUUAAAGUAUCUUAAUUUGAAGGUCCAGUCAUGUCUGCAGAGAAGAAACCAAAAAAGAAGAAAGAGCAGACUGAAACAAAACUGAAUGGAACUGAGACCAAACCAAAGAAAACCAAGACAAAAAAGAAUGAAGAUGUCCUGGAAGAUGAUGCCUCUAACACACAAAGUG
Molecule: long non-coding RNA, 584 nt
Organism: Cyprinodon tularosa
Lineage: Eukaryota; Metazoa; Chordata; Actinopteri; Cyprinodontiformes; Cyprinodontidae
Exons: 2
Source: RefSeq, a predicted model, not a curated record